RNAcentral lists this long non-coding RNA (3766 nucleotides) under Anolis carolinensis (green anole). RNAcentral's name for it is "lncRNA (ENSACAG00000039351.1)". The record is from RNAcentral. Lineage: Eukaryota; Metazoa; Chordata; Lepidosauria; Squamata; Anolidae.
AUGUUAAGUAUUGCAGAGCAAGUUAACUCUCUAUAUAAACUAAAACAGCAGAACUGGUUUUGUUUUAAUUACAUUGGUUUUACAUUUUUAAAUUUUGCAUUCAAAUUGGUUUCAGCAAUUCUCGACCUUCUGCAUUUUCCCCUCGACUGCAAAGAGAUACUACUUCUGGUCAAAGGAUUUGUUGGUGUUGGACUAACCUGUUUAUGCCAAUUGAAGUAAGCUGAAGACAAAAGGGAAAAAUAGGAGGAGAGAGAAAUGUGGACACUUUAAGAGCAGUUGAAGAAGCAGAUUGACUGAAGAGUAAGUCUCCUUGCCAGACUGGGACAGUUGGGAGGUAUGUAUAUCAUGGGUCCACCAGAGAGCGAAUCCUAAAGAUGGCUCUCAUUUCAAACAAUGCCCACAUGAAAAGAGCUAUUACUGUCCUAUUGGCCCUGGGAGGAUGUAUUCCGUCUAACUCGAAAACGGAGGUAAUCAGGACUUUAAACAAAUCUUCUGAAAUAUAGUAGCUGCCUAUCUAAUACAGCAUCCACCAAAUGAAAUGUGAGACCUGCUGCUAAUCUUAGAAGUUCUGUGCAUAAGUAUAAGAAGUUCCAAUUUCAGCCUUUAAUGUCAUUUUAAGGCUAUUUUUUUAAAUGUAAUUAUAGCUCCAAUUGCAUUUGACAUCUGAAGCUGACAAUAGUGACAUAGAAAGGGACAUGGCAAAAAUAGCUCUGCUCAAACUCUAUUAGCCAUUGGAGAAAGGGAAGCAUUUGUCCAACAAAUUCAUGCAAAUUAUUUGCAGUUGAAGAAGGAAGCCAGUGAUUUUGCUGGUGUAUACAGACUGCAAAACUUUCUCUGUCUUCAGCCUUUGAUUGUUUAUCUGGUGCCAUUUCAAAUGUAUGUGUCCCAUUGCUCUGACCUUUAUUGCUCUGCUUUCUAUCCCUCUCCUCUCCUCAUGGUUCUGUGACUUGUCGGCUUGAAAUCAGAAGAUUGGCUGCCUUAAUCUGUCAUGUUAAGUUUGUUUCCUUUGAGAUUGGGGUCUCAGUGUGUUGUAGGUCAGUUUAAAUCACUUUGGAGAGUACUAGAGUUUUGGUGACCGAGUUCCAUUUGACACAGAAGAAAGAAAGUAGAUUAAGAAGUGACAUGUUGGCAGCUUUAAAAUAUCUGAAGUGCUGUCACAUAGUAUGAAGCAGAUUUGGUUUUUUUGUGCCAAACAAUAUGAUUAGGACCUGUAUAGGAAAGCAGGUGGCAAUGUCAUCCCAUGCUCCAGCUGUGAUCAAUGAGGAAGAUUUCUUAAAGCAAGGCAUUGUGGAGGAAGUGGCCCCCAGAGUCUUCUACUAUUGCAUACUAUUAGUGUGGCGUACUAUUAGCCAUUAUUUUAUACCUUUUAUAUUGCAUAUAUUUAUUUUAUAUAUAAAUUUAACUACUAAUUCCUAGACUUUCUAUUUUAUCCAACGUUAUCAGCACCAAUAGCGUUCAAGAUGUUUGCAGUCGGUUCUAGGUGAACAGCAUUGGCUUCUUUGAGUGGUAGUAUAUGGAACAAGUAUACAAAACAACCAUUCCCGUGUUGAGGUUAGAAUUACCACUUUAUAAAAGAAAGUUAAUAAUACCACAUGCAAAGGAGGGCUGGUAUGGGUGUUUCCUGGGGUUUGGCAGUGGGGGUGUCCUCCUGAUAUGAAUUACUGUAUGCACCCAUCUCUAAAAUAGUAGCAUUGUAAAGUCAUUCACAUCGACUUCACAAUUGAUGUAUUUAUAUUCUCCCUUAACAAGUUUUUCUGCACUAUUUCUUUGCAUACUUAAAUUGUGUUUUUAAUACAAGUUACUGCAAUGGUACACAUAUUGCAACAUUUUGGGGGGAGGCAGAAUUCUUAUUGGAGGGCAAUGUCCUCUGCUGUAGUUAAACCCCAGAUGGAGCGCCUGUGAAGGUUUUUAGUAGGUUUGGGAAGUAAUGCAGGAAGAAGAAUAGCAGGUAUUCCUAAAAUUCUCUCUACCUAAUUAAUAAAAAACACAGAUAUUUAAAUUCCAUGUUGCAAUAUACAUGUAACUUUUAACUUACUGUUGAUAACAUUGAAAUAUCAUAGUCACUCCACCGUCAUUUGGAGAUUUAUUUUUCCCCAUGAACACUUCUUGAUUUUGUUGAAACUUUACAGUGCAUAAUGUUCUGAUUGGAUAUAUAAAAUGAAUGCUGUUCUGCUCCAAUUGGGUUGAUGCAAUAGCUCUCCAAUGCUAUACAAAGAACAAGCUGAUUGACAAUUCACAAUUUUUGCUGUGUUGGUCAGUUAGUCAUCAAAUUAGGAUUACAAACAAUAGCAUAUAAGGCUUAGAAGUAACAAACACAGCACAAAAUCUGAAUUAUAUAUUCAUAUAUACAUUUAUUGCACACUCGCAUACACAUUUUGAUAAGUUCUGUCAACUGUUGUUGUUUUGUUCCUUGAGUGGAUGGCUCAUAUGAUUAACUAGAAUUGUGAACUGCAGAUUUCAAUGCAGCACACAGCAUGAAAGUGCCAAUCAGCGAAUGUGACCUUAAAAUCCAUUACAAAAAAGUAUUAAAUUAGUAAAAGCUAUUUUGCAACUCAUAAAAUGUCCUGAUUUGGGGGCUUGCUACAAUGAAAAUGGCCUAACUUCAGUUGGUCAAAUUCUCCUAUAAUUUCCAAAGUUAAUUUUUGAACAUAUCUGUUCUAUCAAACACACACACACACCGAGAUAGGGAAAGGGAAUAAAAUACUGAAUAUGUGUUCAAUCAGUUAUACAUGUUGAUUGUGGUGCAUAAGUGAAAUCACAUCAGCAACCAUUUGUAUAUUUUUCUAACCUACAUCUUUCAAUUUUCAUUGUCUUUCACCGUGUCUCCACCCACAUCUCUUUACACUUAUUCCUUCCAACUCUGUAUGUUUCUUGUCUUGCCUUCUGAUUUCUAUUGCUCCAUGCUGGACUCAAUGACAGUACAUAACACAUUCAAUCUGUCUUUCAAUUUGUGUACUGUAGACCUUUCCAAACCCUGGUGGCAAAUCCUGAUUUGCAACUGAGUGUACAUCGGGGAGCUAUAGAUAGCCCUUGUUCUCUGAAUAUACCAGUGUGAUCUAUGUGUUUCAAGAAACACAUUUGUCUUAUCCAGACAUUACAUUUAUAGAUAUACACUUAGUAGUGUUAUGUGUGAAGUGGUCUUUAAGGACUCUCAGAUGAAAGUAAGGUGCUCAGAUUGGAAUAAUCUGGAAUGCCAUCUUAGUGCAUACCUACAAAAAGGAGGAGCAAAACAAAACACAAUAGUCAUGUCCUUUAUUAAGUGAGAAUCAUACAUGUUUCUGCAAGUUAUGAGAAGUUGACAAACUGGUGCACUGUCGAAAUGGUUGAUAUAACUGUUUUCAUUCUAUGAUUUAAUUGUAUUUCAGAAUUACAAAGAUUUGUCCAUUUUUUAAAAAUUAGUUUUUGGCUACUUCUGCACUGCCAUAUAAUCUAGUUCAAAGCAGAUAAUCUGGAUUUCAUAUGCCAGUGUAGAAGGGGCCUUUAUGUGCAUCUGGUUCUAGUCCAAGUCUUAGGAAAAAGAAGUCAUAGGCAGAUAAAUGGAUGGAUUUUUGUGGACUGCAAAGGGUCAGAGAUGGGACCCCACAUUGUGCAGACCCAAUGAUGAUAUACUAAAAUGGAUAUCAUUGUGGACAGUUUCCCCAUUCAUUAAAUUCUAUUUUAAAGGUGUUUCUUUUAUGAUGAGAAAACAUAGAAAGCCAAAUUAGAAAAAAAAUCCAUAUUUACUUUUUAAAAUAUUUGCAAGAGUUGCUGCAUCUUUCCUUUAUAC